Molecule: non-coding RNA, 2268 nt
Organism: Pelobates cultripes (western spadefoot toad)
Lineage: Eukaryota; Metazoa; Chordata; Amphibia; Anura; Pelobatidae
Source: the annotation of a GenBank genome assembly
AUUUAUUUAAUAAUGUUACAUAAUUAGGUCAUUUUAUUAAUUACAAUUUGCAGGCCCUGCCUGACAGCCAAAAGUCCAGGGAAUUUAAUUUGCUAGCACUAUAUUUAACCCUGUAACUUUCCAAGACUCCAAACAACCUGUACAUGGGUGGGUACUGUUUUAUUUGGAAGACUUUGCUGAACACAAAUAUUAGUGUUUCAAAAGAGUAAAAUUUAUUACAACGAUGAUAUCGUCAGUGACAUUUUUUUGCAUUUUUCACACACAAAUGGCACUUACACGGAUGAUAUAAUUGUUGUAAUACGUAUUACUGCUUUGAAGCACUAAUAUUUGUGUUCAGCGAAGUCUCCUGAGUACAACAGUACCCCUCACGUACAGGUUUUAUGGUGGUUUCAAAAGUUACAGAGUCAAAUAUAAGGCUUGCGUUUCAGUUUUUUCACAUAGAAAUUCGCCAGAUUGGUUACGUUGCCUUUGAGAUGGUAUGGUAGCCCAGGAAUGAGAAUUAACCCCAUGAUGGCAUACCAUUUGCAAAAGUAGACUGUAACCAACCUUGCCACUUAGACAACCUAAGGUAAUGCAAAUUGGGUAUGUCCAGUCUUUUUCAGUAGCCACUUAGCCACAAACACUGGCCAAAAUUGGCAUUCAAAUUAGAUGUUUGCAUUUUUCACACACAAACAAAUAAUAACACUAACUUUGGCCAGGGCUACCAUACGGUCUCAAAGGCAACGUAACCAAUCUGGGGACUGUCAAUGUGAAAAAACUGAAAAAUUUAACAUGCUAUAUUUCACCCUGUAACUUCCCAAAACACCAUAAAACCUGUACAUAGGGGGUACUGUUUUACACGUGAGCCAUCGCUGAAUACAAAUAUGUGUAUUUUAUUGCAGUAAAAGCAAACCGUAUUAUGACAUUCCCAGUUAGAAUGUCACGUAGAACUAAACAUUUUUUUUUUAACGUUUUGUUUUCUCCCAUUUUUUAAAAUAUUUUAUUCAUAUCAAAUUGUUUUAUACUUAAAUAUUUGAUGUUAAAUGAAAGCCCUCUUUCCCCUGAAUAAAAUGAUAAAUAAUAAGUGUGGGUGCACAUAAUAUGAAAGAGGCGAAUUACGCCUGAAUAGACAUAUAGCGCAAAUUAAAGUUUUUGUUUGUUUUAUUUUGAUCACAACGUGUACAUUUGGCUCAGUCCUUAAGGGUUUAAUUCAAACUCUUAUUUUUUGGCCAAAAUAAAUCUGUUAUUAUUGCCAUUUAUAUAGCGCCAACAGAUUCUGUAGCGCUUUUCAAUAUUAUGAGAGGGGGGAUUUAACUAUAAAUAGGACAAUUGCAAUAACACUUAACAGAAACAAUAGGUUGAAGAGUACCCUGCUCAAACGAGCUUACAGUCUGUAGGAGGUGCGGUAUAAAACACAUUAGGACAAGAAAUAGCAAUCAAAUAAGUGGGAGUGAAGCAGAGCUGGAGGAGAGAGUAAGGUGCUGCCCCAUAGGAGUGAGCAAGAGACAGGUAUGUGAGGUAGAGGUUACUCUGGGAGGCCAUAAGCUUUACUAAAGAGAUGGGUUUUAAGGCACUGCUUAAACGAUUGAAGACUAAGGGAGAGUCUGAUGGCGGUAGGCAGGCUAUUCCAUAGUAAGGGAGCUGCCCACGAGAAGCCCUGCAAGCGUGAGUUGGCCAUAUGGGUGUGAGCAGCAGACAGAAGAAGGUCACAGGCAGAGCAGAGAGACAGAGAAGGGGCAUACCUAUGGAUCUGUUAACUUGCUGUUCAGAGAAUAAGAUCCCAUAAUUCCACGCUUGCUUCAUAUACACAUGAGUAUACCAAAUAUGUGACUCUCAACAAUUCUUUAUUUUUUUUAGAGUGAUAAAUUGAUUCAAAUGUUCUGUCUUACCCAUACAGACAGAAAUACAUAGGUUAUUUGACAGACAUGAUUCCUGAUGCAUGGAAUUCCUAAUUUGUAAAGCUAUAUACAUUAAUGAUUAUACAAAUAACUAUUUCAAUACUUACUUUUGGCACUCAAAUUUAAAUGGUACUUGCAAACCUGUUUUGUAUUAAUUUAGAUCCAUUGUACUUUUGUGACACUGUAAUGCUGUCUUGUUCUAGUAGUUCAUUACAAAGUUGUUCUUCUGCGGUAGUGUCCUUGCGUAAGUCUAUGGUGUGUGCAAUUAAAUGUUGGCAGUGGCUUUAUUUAAAGACUGAAUCUUCAUUAAUUUUUAGUUGUCAGUUCUUCCUUUCUGAGUUCAUUUUGGUGACAGCACUUCAUCAACAAAUAGUUAAAACCGUAAUUGUUA